RNAcentral lists this small RNA (63 nucleotides) under Arabidopsis thaliana (thale cress). Its description in RNAcentral is "ATSL291890". The record is from RNAcentral. Lineage: Eukaryota; Viridiplantae; Streptophyta; Magnoliopsida; Brassicales; Brassicaceae.
ACAUUACUAAUUGUAUACCUUCUUAACAUUCUUCUUAUCGCGAUAUCAUAUGUUUUAACAUAA